Molecule: ribosomal RNA, 505 nt
Filed under: uncultured bacterium
Lineage: Bacteria
Description: bacterial SSU rRNA
Rfam family: Bacterial small subunit ribosomal RNA
Source: RNAcentral
CUGGCUCAGGAUGAACGCUAGCGACAGGCCUAACACAUGCAAGUCGAGGGGCAGCACAAGGAGUAAUCUGAGGUGGCGACCGGCGCACGGGUGAGUAACACGUAUGCAACCUACCUGUAAGAGGGGAAUAACCCGGAGAAAUUCGGACUAAUACCGCAUAAUACUGCUAAACUGCAUGGUUUGGUAGUUAAAUAUUUAUAGCUUACAGAUGGGCAUGCGUAUGAUUAGAUAGUUGGUAGGGUAACGGCCUACCAAGUCAACGAUCAUUAGGGGUUCUGAGAGGAAGGUCCCCCACAUUGGAACUGAGACACGGUCCAAACUCCUACGGGAGGCAGCAGUGAGGAAUAUUGGUCAAUGGGCGAGAGCCUGAACCAGCCAAGUCCGCGUGAAGGAAGAAGGUUCUAUGGAUUGUAAACUUCUUCUGUAAGGGAAUAAAAUGCGCUACGUGUAGUGUUUUGUAUGUACUUUACGAAUAAGGAUCGGCUAACUCCGUGCCAGCCGCGGC